CUAGUGACUAGGGUGAAGUCGAAACAAGGUAGCCGUACUGGAAGGUGCGGCUGGAUCACCUCCUU
This 65-nucleotide ribosomal RNA is filed under the name uncultured Pyramimonas. RNAcentral's name for it is "partial Bacterial small subunit ribosomal RNA". It matches the Rfam family "Bacterial small subunit ribosomal RNA", at positions 1468 to 1532 of the family's 1533-position model. The record is from RNAcentral. Lineage: Eukaryota; Viridiplantae; Chlorophyta; Pyramimonadophyceae; Pyramimonadales.